AUGUCUUCUGAUAAUCAGGGGUCAGCAGAUGAGUAUGAAAGCUAAUUAUCCCCACUACUCAGGGAAUUUAGAGGCUUCCCCUUUUGUCUUUGUAGGAAUAGCAGACUUUCUGACUGUAAUGUCCAAAGUUCUUUACAAGUUGAAGUACAGAAGAGAUCAGAAAAUGUCUUACGCACAUGAGAGUUGUUAUCCAAAGAUUUGUCAUAGGAGCAGCGACUCUAGGUGUUCUCUAUUCUAUUUAGAAGAAUUACAUUAGAUUUUGAUUCCUCAAUGUGGCCAAGAAAUAG
RNAcentral lists this long non-coding RNA (287 nucleotides) under Homo sapiens (human). RNAcentral's name for it is "non-protein coding lnc-NBPF26-1:4". The record is from RNAcentral. Lineage: Eukaryota; Metazoa; Chordata; Mammalia; Primates; Hominidae.